This 156-nucleotide ribosomal RNA is filed under the name Boletus edulis. RNAcentral describes it as "5.8S ribosomal RNA". It matches the Rfam family "5.8S ribosomal RNA". From Rfam's summary of the family: 5.8S ribosomal RNA (5.8S rRNA) is a component of the large subunit of the eukaryotic ribosome. It is transcribed by RNA polymerase I as part of the 45S precursor that also contains 18S and 28S rRNA. Functionally, it is thought that 5.8S rRNA may be involved in ribosome translocation. Lineage: Eukaryota; Fungi; Basidiomycota; Agaricomycetes; Boletales; Boletaceae. RNAcentral also lists the same sequence under 1 other name. The record is from RNAcentral.
UACAACUUUCAGCAACGGAUCUCUUGGCUCUCGCAUCGAUGAAGAACGCAGCGAAUUGCGAUAAGUAAUGUGAAUUGCAGAUUUUCAGUGAAUCAUCGAAUCUUUGAACGCACCUUGCGCUCCUUGGUAUUCCGAGGAGCAUGCCUGUUUGAGUGU